UUUUUUAAGUAAUUAGUCAUUAGUUAACUAUAUUUAGUGUUUAAAACUAUUGUAAGGUAUACACGUCAUUGUUCCCUGUAUCAUAUGACCUUUACCUCGUGUUUAUAGUACAAUGGUGAGUAUUUUACUCGAGAAAGUGUGUUUUUGUAGGCUGUUGAUUCAGCAAGCACGAGAGGCUUUAUGUUGAAUUAUUCUAAACACUAAGGAAACAAGGAAAUGAUUGUUAAAACUGUGUUUGGCAAAACUUUUGUGAAUUUUCGGUUUAAAUGAUCUUUAGCUUUAUAUUUAUUUGAUUCUCUAGCUGUUUUAUCCGAGCGCCACGAAGAAGUCGUAUGUAGACAAAACCUAUUUAUCAGCCCGAUAUCUUUCAUUUGUUUUUAAAUAGCUUCUUGAUGACACAUUUUUUGGUGGGAUUUGAGUUACCCUGUCGUUAAUUUUCUAUGUAGUGGUAAGUGAAACGUCUUUAUCUUCCGUACACUCUCAAUUAUUUGCUAUGGUCAUUUUAUUUCGACCUACGAAUUUGGAAUGUUCCCUUGGUAUCUUUUUUUCUUUAUGCUAGCAUUUCUAAAUUUACGUCCUCUAGUCUUUACUAUCCUGAUUCGAGAUAUUGGUCAUUUGUUUUCAUGAACUUGACUUUCACGGUUGUUUUUUUUUUUUCUAUUGCGGGUUUAACUUGUACAACAUUUGGUAUGGAUAAGUAAAGUAAACGGUUAAUCUCGCGUACGUUCUCGCCAAUUGUUGUGCUUGCAUGAUAGGGUUUUUUCAUUAUUGUUUGUCUGUUUGUAUUCGAUCUUUUCGGUUGAGUGAGUUCUUUGUUGUUAGCGUGAUAUUUUGCUCUUUUCAAUAUUCUAUGGCAAAUUUGGUUACCUGUUUUGUGAAUUAUUUGUUUAUAAAUUCAGAUAGUUACAGAAAUACGACUCUUUCAGUUAUGGUCGUCUGAUCUGUAAUUUCACCUUUGCAAUAUUCUCCAUUUUGUAUUUCUUACGCUAAACGUGAGUCUUG
RNAcentral lists this long non-coding RNA (1002 nucleotides) under Mytilus galloprovincialis (Mediterranean mussel). The record is from RNAcentral. Lineage: Eukaryota; Metazoa; Mollusca; Bivalvia; Mytilida; Mytilidae.